RNAcentral lists this unclassified non-coding RNA (146 nucleotides) under uncultured Passalora. Its description in RNAcentral is "sequence contains ITS2". Lineage: Eukaryota; Fungi; Ascomycota; Dothideomycetes; Mycosphaerellales; Mycosphaerellaceae. The record is from RNAcentral.
CACCACUCGAGUCUGACUCGGUAUUGGGGGCCGCGACCCGUCGCGCCCCUUGAAGUCUCCGGCUGGGCGGUCCGUCUCCGAGCGUUGUGGCAUCUCGUCUCGCUAGGGAGGUACGGGCGGCGUCGGCCGUUAAACACCCCAUCAAA